RNAcentral lists this ribosomal RNA (481 nucleotides) under uncultured bacterium. Its description in RNAcentral is "bacterial SSU rRNA". It matches the Rfam family "Bacterial small subunit ribosomal RNA", at positions 28 to 507 of the family's 1533-position model. The record is from RNAcentral.
GAUGAACGCUGGCGGCGUGCUUAACACAUGCAAGUCGAACGAGCUUUAUUACUACGAUCCCUUCGGGGUGACGGUUUUAAAGCGAGUGGCGGACGGGUGAGUAACGCGUGGAUAACCUGCCAUAUACUGGGGGAUAACAGUUGGAAACGACUGCUAAUACCGCAUAAAGUCAUUUAGAGGCAUCUCUGAAUGACCAAAGAUUUAUUGCUGAAAGAUGGUCUCGCGUCUGAUUAGCUAGUAGGCGGGGUAACGGCCCACCUAGGCGACGAUCAGUAGCCGGUCUGAGAGGAUGAACGGCCACAUUGGGACUGAGAUACGGCCCAGACUCCUACGGGAGGCAGCAGUGGGGAAUAUUGGGCAAUGGGCGCAAGCCUGACCCAGCAACGCCGCGUGAAGGAAGAAGGCUUUCGGGUUGUAAACUUCUUUUGUCAGGGACGAGUAGAAGACGGUACCUGACGAAUAAGCCACGGCUAACUACGUG